Molecule: microRNA precursor, 73 nt
Filed under: Lotus japonicus
Lineage: Eukaryota; Viridiplantae; Streptophyta; Magnoliopsida; Fabales; Fabaceae
Description: miR11140 stem-loop (lja-MIR11140)
Source: miRBase by way of RNAcentral
CAAUUAUGCGUUGGCUCAACAAGCGUGCGCUUCGCACUACCCUAACUCGUUUCCGAGCUUAACGCAUAAUUGC